AUACCAAGCUAUACUUGUGUUAUGUGCAAUGCAGGCAUAUUGGAAACCAGGGACCAUCUUUUUCUCCACUGCCCAUUUGCUCAACUCUGUUGGGCAUAUAUCUGUCCAACUUGGACUCCAAAUUUUAUGGGCAUACAGGAAGAAGUUAAGGUCCUCAAAUAACUGCUGCAGGUACCUUUUUCCAUGAAAAUAAUCAUUCUGGUGACUUGGGCAAUCUGGACCACGAGGAAUGAUUUCAUUUCAAAGGCACACAACCAAACCACUACAACUGCAGAAGAAAAUUCAAGGAUGAGAUCAAAUGGAUCAUUUACCUGUAUAGUUUUUUGCUGCUCUAGGUUUCCCUGUUUUUCCUUUUUCUAUAGUGUAUGUUUUCCUUUGGGCCUAUGGGACCUUAUUAUUGUUUUGUACCUGUUUUCAAAAAUCAAUAAAAAUAUGCAGAAGAGUCCUAUUGUUUCCCUCAAAAAGAAAAACAUGAUGACAUGUCAUUUGCAAUCUUGGAGGCCAUCUGUGACUCCGAAGGGCAGGAGGUGGUGA
This 534-nucleotide ribosomal RNA is filed under the name Triticum aestivum (bread wheat). Its description in RNAcentral is "partial small subunit ribosomal RNA". The record is from RNAcentral. Lineage: Eukaryota; Viridiplantae; Streptophyta; Magnoliopsida; Poales; Poaceae.